AGUGAACGCUGGCGGUAGGCCUAACACAUGCAAGUCGAACGGUAGCACAGUAAGAGCUUGCUCUUACGGGUGGCGAGUGGCGGACGGGUGAGGAAUACAUCGGAAUCUACUUUUUCGUGGGGGAUAACGUAGGGAAACUUACGCUAAUACCGCAUACGACCUACGGGUGAAAGCAGGGGAUCUUCGGACCUUGCGCGAUUGAAUGAGCCGAUGUCGGAUUAGCUAGUUGGCGGGGGUAAAGGCCCACCAAGGCGACGAUCCGUAGCUGGUCUGAGAGGAUGAUCAGCCACACUGGAACUGAGACACGGUCCAGACUCCUACGGGAGGCAGCAGUGGGGAAUAUUGGACAAUGGGCGCAAGCCUGAUCCAGCCAUACCGCGUGGGUGAAGAAGGCCUUCGGGUUGUAAAGCCCUUUUGUUGGGAAAGAAAAGCAGCAGGUUAAUACCCCGCUGUUCUGACGGUACCCAAAGAAUAAGCACCGGCUAACUUCGUG
RNAcentral lists this ribosomal RNA (493 nucleotides) under uncultured bacterium. Its description in RNAcentral is "partial 16S ribosomal RNA". It matches the Rfam family "Bacterial small subunit ribosomal RNA", at positions 29 to 507 of the family's 1533-position model. The record is from RNAcentral.